RNAcentral lists this transfer RNA (71 nucleotides) under Mus musculus (house mouse). RNAcentral's name for it is "tRNA-Ile". The record is from RNAcentral. Lineage: Eukaryota; Metazoa; Chordata; Mammalia; Rodentia; Muridae.
GGAGCUACGGCUCAGUUGGUAGAGUGCUUGGCUGAUAUGUAAAAGUCAAGGGUUCAAUUCCCAGUGUUUCG